CCUACGGGAGGCAGCAGUAAGGAAUAUUGGUCAAUGGAGGCAACUCUGAACCAGCCAUGCCGCGUGCAGGAAGACGGCCUAUGGGUUGUAAACUGCUUUUAUCUGGGAAUAUGUACCAGAAGAAUAAGGAUCGGCUAACUCCGUGCCAGCAGCCGCGGUAAUACGGAGGAUCCAAGCGUUAUCCGGAUUUAUUGGGUUUAAAGGGUGCGUAGGCGGCCUGUUAAGUCAGAGGUGAAAGACGGUAGCUCAACUAUCGCAGUGCCUUUGAUACUGACGGGCUUGAAUAAACUAGAGGUAGGCGGAAUGAGACAAGUAGCGGUGAAAUGCAUAGAUAUGUCUCAGAACACCGAUUGCGAAGGCAGCUUACUAUGGUUUAUUGACGCUGAGGCACGAAAGCGUGGGGAUCAAACAGGAUUAGAUACCCUUGUAGUC
This 432-nucleotide ribosomal RNA is filed under the name uncultured bacterium. RNAcentral describes it as "partial 16S ribosomal RNA". It matches the Rfam family "Bacterial small subunit ribosomal RNA", at positions 338 to 795 of the family's 1533-position model. The record is from RNAcentral.